Mercurialis annua (annual mercury) is the source of this 1119-nucleotide long non-coding RNA. RefSeq lists it as uncharacterized. NCBI's taxonomy places the organism in Eukaryota, Viridiplantae, Streptophyta, Magnoliopsida, Malpighiales, Euphorbiaceae. The transcript has 4 exons. The record is from RefSeq and is a predicted model, not a curated record.
GAAAAAGUGAGAAAAAGUGCAAGUUAGCUCAAAAUGGAAAUUUGAGCGUUUUUGGCCAAAAUUGCCAAAAUAAAUUGUUGGAGGGUGAUAUUAUAAGGUAUGAUACUAUUGUUAUUUAUUUGGGAAAUAAAUAAUACGGAAUUUAUCGAGAAUCGAAUGAUUAAAGGAUUAGUGGACUAAAUUGGACGAAAUAAAAGUUAUAAAGUGAAAGUUGAGGAGGUGACAAACUCAAGGACUAAAGGAGACUUUUGCCUCACCUAUUUAAGACACUUGCAUAUGAGUUUAAACUCAGCAAGCAUAUCAUUUUCAGCUCCUAAAAUUCGUCCUUCACCCUUUCUCCAUGGAAGAACAUCAAGCAAAUUUCAAAUGGUCAUAACUCACUCAAUUUUGAUCCGAAUUGAGCGAUUCUUGUGGCCACGGAACGAGGGAAGGAUCCUCUACUGAUAUAUAGUAUCAAUUUAAGGUUAUUGAAAGCUUGAAGGGAGUAUUUUGAUGGUUGUUCAUGGAGGAAUUCAUUCAACCAAAGGGUUAUCCCAUCAAGAAAAGCGUUAUCGAAAUUGCGUAGACUCGAAGAAGCGACUAUCGAUAAGGCUCGAGGCGAAUGGAUCGAGAUAUCGUCGUGCUUAUUUAAAGAAUUUGGAUAGCAAGUGGGAUGGUAUGAUAUGAUUUGAAGAGUUAAGCUUCCGAAGUUUUAAUUCUCGGAAGUCAUUUGUAUAAGAAGAAAAAGAAGGUUUUCAUUCUAGCGGUCCGCAGUAGUCUAGAUAUUUUAACUAGAAUUUUGUAUAACGCGUUUUUAACUCUGAUAUUAUUUGUAAAUGGGGUCACAUGUAUUUUAAUAUAUGAAAUAUGUUUUGAUUUGCGAAAAAAAAUUUACACAGGUUUUUAGGCUUGCUACGGGAUUUGGAGCUACCACUCCCAUUCCCUAGCGCCGGUCGCGGCUCAUAAAUUUGGGUCGUGACAAAGUUGGUAUCAGAGCAAUGGUUUAGAAUUCCUAGGCCAUUGUUCUUUUAUGAUUGAAGUAUAGGAAAGUGUCGAUCAAUAUAUAGGAACUACUGCGGAUUAUAGGGAUUUCCAGUCAUGUCUUUUGAACGUUAUCAAUGUUUUCAUCGAUUUUUCAAA